GGUCGAUCUCAUGUGGUAGACAGAGACAACAACAUCUCCAUGGACAGUGGCUCCCAGUGGGAUCAGCACCUUCCCUUCCUGCACACGCAGCUGCACAGCAGGGCCAGGAUGGGAGAAGAGGUGACAGAAACAGAACAUUGCACUGACCAGAACUGCUGAGGCUGCACGGCCGUCCUGAAAAGGAAAGGGGCGGAGAAGAAAAACUCUCAGCAAAACCAGAGAACCAAAAUGAGCUGCCCAGGAUGAGGCUGGAGAGGAGCCCCUCACCUGCCUGGAUGCCACGACCACCUCCCACUACCCCUCUGCCUCUGGUCCCUGCCCUGGUAGGAAAUUCUUCCAGGUAAUGGCCUUUGAUGAUAGAUAUUAACCUGCCUGCAGCAUCUCACCAUCCCAGCAGCUGCAAGGACCCAAAUCACUCUAACACAGCAGCCCACUGUGAGUAAGGAGCUGCUGGCACAGCCUGUGAUUAUGAGCAAUUGCAGCAGAGAUGUUGUAGCAGCAAAUUCAGAGAUGUUUCUGAAGUUUGGGAGUAAAGUAAGUUAUAGAAAAACAA
Molecule: long non-coding RNA, 553 nt
Organism: Vidua chalybeata
Lineage: Eukaryota; Metazoa; Chordata; Aves; Passeriformes; Viduidae
Exons: 3
Source: RefSeq, a predicted model, not a curated record